RNAcentral lists this ribosomal RNA (305 nucleotides) under uncultured bacterium. RNAcentral's name for it is "bacterial SSU rRNA". It matches the Rfam family "Bacterial small subunit ribosomal RNA", at positions 335 to 657 of the family's 1533-position model. The record is from RNAcentral.
GCUCCUACGGGACGCAGCAGUGGGGAAUAUUGCACAAUGGGGGAAACCUUGAUGCAGCGACGCCGCGUGAAGGAAGAAGUAUUUCGGUAUGUAAACUUCUAUCAGCAGGGAAGAAAGUGACGGUACCUGACUAAGAAGCCCCGGCUAACUACGUGCCAGUAGCCGCGGUAAUACGUAGGGGGCAAGCGUUAUCCGGAUUUACUGGGUGUAAAGGGAGCGUAGGCGGCGAUGCAAGUCAGAAGUGAAAGCCCGGGGCUCAACUCCGGGACUGCGUUUGAAACUGUAUGGCUAGAUUGCAGGAGAGG